Molecule: ribosomal RNA, 720 nt
Filed under: Ornithobacterium rhinotracheale
Lineage: Bacteria; Pseudomonadati; Bacteroidota; Flavobacteriia; Flavobacteriales; Weeksellaceae
Description: bacterial SSU rRNA
Rfam family: Bacterial small subunit ribosomal RNA
Source: RNAcentral
CGGAUUAAGGAAACCGGCGCACGGGUGCGUAACGCGUAUGCAACUUGCCCUUAUCAGGAGGAUAGCCCGGGGAAACUCGGAUUAAUACUCCAUGAGAUUUUGAUUGGCAUCGAUUAAAAUUGAAAGAUUUAUUGGAUAAGGAUAGGCAUGCGUCAGAUUAGUUAGUUGGUAGUGUAACGGACUACCAAGGCGAUGAUCUGUAGGGGGCCUGAGAGGGUGAACCCCCACACUGGUACUGAGACACGGACCAGACUCCUACGGGAGGCAGCAGUGAGGAAUAUUGGACAAUGGAGGGAACUCUGAUCCAGCCAUCCCGCGUGCAGGAAGACGGCCUUAUGGGUUGUAAACUGCUUUUGUAUGGGGAUAAAUCUACUUACGUGUAGGUAGUUGAAGGUACCAUACGAAUAAGCAUCGGCUAACUCCGUGCCAGCAGCCGCGGUAAUACGGAGGAUGCAAGCGUUAUCCGGAUUCAUUGGGUUUAAAGGGUCCGUAGGCGGGCUGAUAAGUCAGUGGUGAAAUUUUGUCGCUUAACGAUAAAACUGCCAUUGAUACUGUUAGUCUUGAGUGAUAUUGAAGUAGCUGGAAUGUGUAGUGUAGCGGUGAAAUGCAUAGAUAUUACACAGAACACCGAUUGCGAAGGCAGGUUACUAAGUAUUAACUGACGCUGAAGGACGAAAGCGUGGGGAGCGAACAGGAUCAGAUACCCUGGUAGUCCACGCA